UACGUAGGGGGCCAGCGUUGUCCGAAGUUACUGGGCGUAAAGAGCGCGUAGGCGGGUCUUUAAGUGAGAGGUGAAAUCUCGGGGCUCAACCCCGAGACUGCCUUUCAUACUGGGGACCUUGAGUGCGGGAGAGGCGAGUGGAAUGGUCGGAGUAGCGGUGAAAUGCGUAGAUAUCGAUCGGAACACCCAUGGCGAAGGCAGCUCGCUGGCCUGCAACUGACGCUGAGGCGCGAAAGCCGGGGGAGCAAACAGG
RNAcentral lists this ribosomal RNA (253 nucleotides) under uncultured bacterium. Its description in RNAcentral is "partial 16S ribosomal RNA". It matches the Rfam family "Bacterial small subunit ribosomal RNA", at positions 524 to 776 of the family's 1533-position model. The record is from RNAcentral.